RNAcentral lists this transfer RNA (68 nucleotides) under Cheumatopsyche brevilineata. RNAcentral describes it as "tRNA-His". Lineage: Eukaryota; Metazoa; Arthropoda; Insecta; Trichoptera; Hydropsychidae. The record is from RNAcentral.
AUUUAAAUAGUUUAAUUAAAAAUAUUGAUUUGUGGAAUCAAAGAUAUUUAUGUUAAGAAUUUUAAAUU